RNAcentral lists this unclassified non-coding RNA (345 nucleotides) under soil metagenome. RNAcentral describes it as "partial contains 5.8S ribosomal RNA, internal transcribed spacer 2, and large subunit ribosomal RNA". The stretch from base 1 to 120 matches the Rfam family "5.8S ribosomal RNA", at positions 35 to 154 of the family's 154-position model. The record is from RNAcentral.
GAUGAAGAACGCAGUGAAAUGCGAUGCGUAAUGUGAAUUGCAGAAUUCAGUGAAUCAUCGAGUCUUUGAACGCACAUUGCGCCCCCUGGUAUUCCGGGGGGCAUGCCUGUCCGAGCGUCAUUGCUGCCCUCAAGCACGGCUUGUGUGUUGGGCCUCCGUCCUCCUCCCGGGGGACGGGCCCGAAAGGCAGCGGCGGCACCGCGUCCGGUCCUCGAGCGUAUGGGGCUUCGUCACCCGCUCUUGUAGGCCCGGCCGGCGCUUGCCGACACAUCAAUCUUUUUUCCAGGUUGACCUCGGAUCAGGUAGGGAUACCCGCUGAACUUAAGCAUAUCAAUAAGCGGAGGA